UAGCUUAUUUUUCAUAAGGAAACAUAAUAUGCAGAGUAUCACAGCAAAAGGCGAACCAGUUACAUGUAUGGAGACACAUAACCGUGAGUAUAUUACUUGAUUCAUAUUUAAAGUAACUUCACAUCAAGACUUUAUCGAUAAAAAGGAAAUACGAUAAAGUAAAUACGUCAUCUAACGAUCCCCCACCAGCACCAGACCAAUCUCACUCCUCGCUUAGCCUGCACAUUUAGAAAUACAUGCAGGGCGUGAGUAUAUAAUACUCAGUGGGCAAACGCCGAAAAACAAGAAAGGCGCUCUUAGAGCUAUAAGUUUGAAGCUUGCCACAACUCAGCAAUACACAGAAAUAAGUUAGUAUCAAUGAAUCUGUGCAUGCAGUUUUCAUAAUCAACAUCAUAAAUAAGUAACUGCGCAGUUUAAACAUUCAUCAUGUAUGUACCACAUCCACUACUCAUCAUCAAAGGUACUGAGAAGUAGGCCUCCCUCUCAAGUACCGUGACCGGCCGACCCGAGACGGCUCACAGUCACCUCUGUGCACAAAAUCCCGCUUGUGGCAGGACCGAAUUCGUCUCAUCAGUAGAGGGUAACACACAAGCUCAACAUCGAAAAUUGGCAAGUCAAACAGUUCUCAAACAUCAUUUAUCUCAAAACAUUUGAUAAGUUCUUAACAUCAUUACAUCAUUUUAGAAAGCUCAUAUGAUAAACAUAUACUCAAAAUAUUGCCCACCUGAAGACCUUACUCAAAAACUCCCGUCAAAGUGGAGUUACUUACUUCCUUGCUCUGCUCGUGUCUUCAGGGAUCAUCGUCAUCAUCGAAGGUUCAUGUCAUAAAAUGAAUCCCGAUUAGAAACUCAACGACAAAAACUCA
This 865-nucleotide long non-coding RNA is filed under the name Salvia miltiorrhiza (redroot sage). RNAcentral's name for it is "long non-coding RNA (SMIL_LNC011538)". The record is from RNAcentral. Lineage: Eukaryota; Viridiplantae; Streptophyta; Magnoliopsida; Lamiales; Lamiaceae.